GGAGGAAUAUUGCACAAUGGGCGAAAGCCUGAUGCAGCGACGCCGCGUGAGCGAAGAAGGCCUUCGGGUCGUAAAGCUCUUUUCCGAGGGAAGAGGAAGGACGGUACCUCGGGAAUAAGUCUCGGCUAACUACGUGCCAGCAGCCGCGGUAAAACGUAGGAGGCGAGCGUUAUCCGGAAUUACUGGGCGUAAAGGGCAAGUAGGCGGUAGCCAAAGUUGGGUGUGACAAAUCUCGGCUCAACUGAGAGGGGACGCUCAAAACUAGGUUACUGGAGGGCAGGAGAGGGGAGCGGAAUUCCUAAUGUAGCGGUGGAAUGCUCAGAUAUUAGGAAGAACACCAGUGGCGAAGGCGGCUCUCUGGGCCUGGUACCUGACGCUGAGAGGCGAAAGCUAGGGGAGCGAACGGGCUUAGAUACCCCGGUAGUCCAAGCUGUAAACAUUGGAUACUGGGUAUUGGGGGUUAAAUCUCCGCAGUGCCGAAGCGAACGCGUUAAGUAUCCGCCUGGGGACUACGGCCGCAAAGG
This 524-nucleotide ribosomal RNA is filed under the name uncultured bacterium. RNAcentral describes it as "bacterial SSU rRNA". It matches the Rfam family "Bacterial small subunit ribosomal RNA", at positions 355 to 893 of the family's 1533-position model. The record is from RNAcentral.